UCCACGCCCUAAACGAUGAACACUAGUCGUCGGGAUGCAAGUCAUUUCGGUGAUGCAGUUAACACAUUAAACAUUCCGCCUGGGGAGUACGGUCGCAAGAUUAAAACUCAAAGGAAUAGACGGGGACCCGCACAAGUGGUGGAGCAUGUGGUUUAAUUCGAAGAUACGCGAAGAACCUUACCUAGCCUUGACAUUGAUAGAACACAGUAGAGAUACAGUGGUGCCUUUUCGGG
This 233-nucleotide ribosomal RNA is filed under the name uncultured bacterium. RNAcentral's name for it is "partial 16S ribosomal RNA". It matches the Rfam family "Bacterial small subunit ribosomal RNA", at positions 794 to 1024 of the family's 1533-position model. The record is from RNAcentral.